This 500-nucleotide ribosomal RNA is filed under the name uncultured bacterium. Its description in RNAcentral is "partial 16S ribosomal RNA". It matches the Rfam family "Bacterial small subunit ribosomal RNA", at positions 30 to 523 of the family's 1533-position model. The record is from RNAcentral.
AUUGAACGCUGGCGGAAUGCUUUACACAUGCAAGUCGAACGGCAGCACGGACUUCGGUCUGGUGGCGAGUGGCGAACGGGUGAGUAAUGUAUCGGAACGUGCCCAGUCGUGGGGGAUAACGUAGGGAAAAUUACGCUAAUACCGCAUACGAUCUAUGGAUGAAAGCGGGGGAUCGCAAGACCUCGCGCGAUUGGAGCGGCCGAUAUCAGAUUAGGUAGUUGGUGGGGUAAAGGCCCACCAAGCCAACGAUCUGUAGCUGGUCUGAGAGGACGGCCAGCCACACUGGAACUGAGACACGGGCCAGACUCCUACGGGAGGCAGCAGUGGGGGAUGUUGGACAAUGGACGAAAGCCUGAUCCAGCCAUUCCGCGUGCAGGAUGAAGGCCAUCGGGUUGUAAACUGCUUUUGUACAGAACGAAAAAGUUUCUACUAAUACUGGGAGCUCAUGACGGUACUGUAAGAAUAAGCACCGGCUAACUACGUGCCAGCCGCCGCCGUAA